This 67-nucleotide transfer RNA is filed under the name Polaromonas sp. RNAcentral's name for it is "tRNA-Phe". The record is from RNAcentral. Lineage: Bacteria; Pseudomonadati; Pseudomonadota; Betaproteobacteria; Burkholderiales; Comamonadaceae.
GGCAAAUAUAUAAAUUCAAGAAUUGAAAAUCCUUGUGUCGGUGGUUCGAUUCCGCCCCAGGCCACCA